AUGUCCACGCCGCCGUCGGAGGAGGGAGGAGGAGGAAGCCUUCCACUACCGGCGGACUGCGAAGGCUUGAUCAGCGAGAAGACGUGGGCGUUGCUGGGUGAGGAAAGGCGUCGUAUGAUCAUGGAUACCCUGCACCGGACGGAGGCGGAUAACGUGGAGGCACCGCGGGGACGCUUCGACGAGUUCCACUUCUCUCCUGUCUCUCCUGGCUUGGGUAAGGCCAUGAUGCCGUCCGAUGGUUACUGGGAAGCCGUGCGCCGGCUGAAGGAGGAGGAUGCGCGCCGGCAGGAAGAGGAGGAUGAUCGCCGCGAGAAGAGAGAGGAGCUCGCACGCCAGCAGAGGGAGGAGCUUGUGCGCCAGCAAAUGGAGGAGCACGCGCGCCAGAAGAGCGAGGCGAUGCUGCUGCAGACUAAGCCAGUCGAUGACCCCAGCCAUUAG
This 438-nucleotide ribosomal RNA is filed under the name Triticum aestivum (bread wheat). RNAcentral's name for it is "partial small subunit ribosomal RNA". Lineage: Eukaryota; Viridiplantae; Streptophyta; Magnoliopsida; Poales; Poaceae. The record is from RNAcentral.